GCAACCUUGGCAAGCACAAAUGAAGGAAAUUAGCUUGUGGAUUAGUGCAGCCAUUAGUGCCAUUGGCCGUAAGCUAUAAGGCAUUACAAUUUUAAUCAAGUCUGUGAUAAUAGGUAAUUUUAAGUUUUCUCUCGAGAACUUGAUUUUAAAAGUGAAUGCAACAAUGUCAUUCAUGAUUACUCACAUCCGUUUAAACUGUAUCUCUUCUACUGAUUGCUCACUUCUACCUCUCAGGGAAGCAGAAGAUCAACUAGAUUGAGGACUACACCAAAAAGAAAAUGAAGUACUCAGCCAGUUCCGAUGAUGAGGAAGAUGAGGAUGAGGAUGCCGAUUUUGAUGAAGAGGAAUUUGCUGAACGCAAGAGCAGAAAAAAGCCUGGGCCAAAAUCCAAACAGAAACCUGCCCCUGCCUCAAAGAAGAAGCCGCCGAAGCCAAAAUCCGAAGAAGAAGAUGAUGAAGAAGAUGAGGAUGAGGAAGAAGAUGAGGAGGAUGAAGAGGAUGAAGAUGACGAAGAGUCAAACGACGCAAGCGAGAAGUCGCUUAAUUCAACUACCCCAGCAGACAAGGAUUAUGUGUCUGGAGCAUUUCUGGUCAGCAAAAGCGACUUGGCUGAUAAAGAUACUGACCCUCCUCUCUGGAGAAUUGAUGGAAAAGCUUUGUUACAAAAGUACAUUCCGUUCAAAGACGAUGAGGGGAAAACUCUGUACAGGAAUACGUACACGUAUUCCGGAUGGUCAAUUAACAACAAGAAUAACUAUUACCCUGCCUCAAUUGUAUUCAAACAGCAGUCUCAGAAAGAGCAUGUGGUUGAGUUCCAGCGUGACCUGUUACCCAAAGAGGAAGAGAACGAUGAGUAAGUGCACAUGUGAUCCACAACCACCGGGAUUUUUAAGUGCUACUAAUUUUUAAGCUGCGCAGAGGCAACUUAAUGUCACCCUCUUGAUGAUCUUAAUGCCGAACUUUUUUAAGCUAAGAUUCUGCGUAAAGAUCCUGUUAAUUUGUAUGUAUUUUAAACCUAUAUUUUAAACUUAAGAGUGCUCGUUCUUCAUGGGAAAAAAAAUCAGAAAAAUAUUUGUCUGAACUUCAUUUUCUCUCUCAUUUAUUCUAUUAUUGGCCUCUAAUCAGUAAAAUUGAAAUAUUCAGAUCAGGCGUUUCCUUUGAUCACUUUUUUCAACCGGUGUUAUUAAUGUUUAAAUAGUGUAAAAUCUUGAUCUUUUUUCAUCUAUGGUCCUAAUUGUAUAAUUCAAUCUAUUGUGAAAUGUCAGAUUAUUUUUAAGAAACUUAUUUUAAUCACAACUUUGUCUCACUUUGUCGGAGUUAAGUCCUUUGAAUUUUUUUUACAGUGUAAAAAUUUGAAGAUCAUAAAACCUCACCGAAUUUCAGAAAUGUGACUAUUCCUUUCUCUCCAUAAAUUUUCCAAACGAAUAUCCCCUCUGUGAUCACUAAGAAGUAUUGUUGGAAAGCAUUCAGAAAUGUGUAUUCCUGUUUCCAAAUCCAAUAAAUUGCUGCAUAUUUCUCAAAGAUUUUUUGGUUCCAGUUACAUUUGCUUGUACACACCUGGCAAUGUAGUUAAUAAGAAAGUUUACAGCCUUUCGGCUAGUUUGAGAAGAAUGUCAAAGGUGGAUUUAUUUUCUCUACAGACCAAGCCCUGUAGUGUACAUUACAGCCUAAUUACAAAUUUUUAAAUGAUACUGUCUUUGAAUUGUAUUUCCAGCAAGAUAAGUAAUCUCUUUAUGAAUUAAGAUUGCCUUACUUGUAGAAUUUUUGUAUUGGAUGAUCAGCUUUCCGAAGCUCCUUGUUCAGUUUCAAUUUGAUGCUCAGCUGACGUUCUUAUCACUGAAAAUUGACAAUGCAAAUUGCUAACAGCUCAAGUAUAUUAAGUUUUUGGUGCAAUGUGGCAACCAAUCUACCAUUUUCCUUUUCAUUACCAUUUUUUCAAUAGCACUACUCUUAGAUAUUUAUAACUGCUUUCACAGCAAAUAACAGAUUAUUUCUAUUCUCUCCCACAAGCUUCAGUACUUCAUUUCUUCUGUAAGGCAUAUAGUAUAAUUAAUUUUAUUAGUUUUGUUUUUCUUUGGUUUCUAUCGUGUUUCAUAAUUCUUAACUAGUUACUGCUCCUGCACAUUUUCAUUCUUGUUGUCAAAAUCACCAGCAGGGUGUUAGUCGUCAUGAUAUCUUUCGUCAUUAUUUCACUUUUUACCAACAAUAUGCUAGCAUCAGUAGCCUACUCCAUACGGUUUUAUUGAUUCAUUGCUAAUACUUGUGAGAAACGUUAUGUAUUACCUGUGAUUGAAGUUGGUAUUAAAUUCAAACUUAACGAAAGUAGUUGAUCGCAAGUUCUUCUCUGUAGUACAUAUUUCAAUUGCUCGUGAGCGACUUAAUCCCUCGCCUAACAUUUGUUAACUUGAGCAUCCUUUGACACCAAUUAACCACAUCAAUAAAUCCAUGGAAGCACUCAUUUUUGAGUUCCUUAAAGCAGUUUUCAUGAUUUUUACCUUGUUUCUCAUAAGCAUCCUUAAACUUAGUGAAAAAUGGAAUUAUUCCGAUAAUUUUCGUCCAUUAUCCCUAUUAGUUAUAGGAGAAACUUCUAUAGAAGACAAUAUCAGUAUUUGGCGGAACACUUAUGAAUUUUUGAAGAAUAGAGCUGUUGUAAAGGAAAAUUCGUGAAUGAUGCUCUCAAAUGUAAUAUGAAUUUCAUAGAGGAAAACAAUAUGUAGUAGCCUAGGUGAUACAGAGGAAAUGCAGUUUGUUCUGCAAGUAGUUGCAGUGAAGACAGUAGACAUUCUCCAUUGUCAAAAAAAAUAAUGCCAGGAGAGAAGAUGUAACUUUUUCAGAUGCUCCACAGCACUGCUGAGAACCAAAAUGCACAACUGUCAAUACUGCAGUAAGUGAAUAACUGAAUAAAAAUGUUCAUUCGGAUUAUUUAUUUCAAUAUUCCAUUUCUGUUGGUUUUUAUUAGUCUUAUUAUUCAAUUGUCACAUUUAAACCAUUGAUUAUGUCAUUGGUUGAUAUACCAUUAAUAUGUCACUUGGAAGAAACGAGCGGAAAUGAUGGAAAGAACAAAGGUUAGUUUUGAAGACACUGCUUAAGAAACAAGGAGAAAAACCACUGACUGCCUUAAACAACCUGAAAAUUUGUGCACUCUUGUUGAAUUCUAAUUAUUUUAGUGCUGAAGCAAGAAUGCCAAGUUGUGGAAAAAUGCAAAAAUCAACUGAAAAUCAAAUUUAGAAGUUUUAGUGACCUACUCGGUUUAAUCAGACCCGAAGACGCAUUUUUCAGCUUAAUUUGGCCCUGACCGCUUAGAUCCUAAAAAUGAUCUUUUCCCAUGAAUCCUUGUUCCCUAAUUAUUACCUACCAAAAAGCAUUAAUUGAGCGUUUGUCUCAAUUAAAUUUCGAAAAGUCCAAAAAUAAAAAAGGCUAUACUAAUCAUAGAAGAAAAUAUGCACUGGGGACUGGGGGUGCAAUGGUAAAACUCAGUUACUUGAGGUAAUACUUUAUUCAAAAUUAACAACCAAAACAGUCAUACUUUUAAACAUAAGGUAACAAAUACUGGCGACAAAAACAUCACAAAGCUGAUUGGACAUGAUGUAAAAUCUAAUAGAAUGAAUCGCCAGAUGGGACUUGCACAGUCUUUUGUGUGCACCCUCAUUGGGAAACAUCUCGAUGGAGACAAUUUUAAGGUCUGGAGUGACCAAAGAAAGUGCACCUCGGCAGUCUCUAUGGCAAUUCAACCAGAAGGUCCUAAGCUAAUUAAAUUUAGACCAUCAAACAAUUACUGUAUCGCGAACAACCAUGAACUAUGCGGCUUUUGGAAAGUAAGCAGAGCCUUCUUUAUUGAAGUGAGUGAAUUGGCAAAACUGCCCACUGUGAUAGGGAAGGCUUUCUCUGCAGCAAAACUUACAAACAACUCUUUUAUGGUCACUUGGAUCUGUGUCUUAAAUUCUACACUUCUAAUGUGGGAACUGUUAGGCUAACAUUUGCUCCAUCUUAUCGUGGCACACGAGAAAUUCAAUAUUCCCUUCGGAAAACGGCUCCUUUUUGCAAACUCAUGCUCCCAGGCAGAGUUGAUCAGGAAUAAUUCAGCAAUUGCUGAAAUUGGUGCAGCAACACUGACUAGAUGUUCGGUGCUGAGAAUUCUCUAAAUGAUAAAAUGGAUCAAUCGUCAGUUAUUCGUCCCAUUGAGACAAUUGAUCGAUGAUGCUGAUUGACCUCAUAAUUUCUGAAUAAUUUUCGCCUGUCUCUGCUCCCAGGAACAGAGCACUAGGAAUUUUCAUUGGAUAGAUUUGAAGUUUUGUAUGCAGUGGCACGACGUGUCUCUAAAAUAUGGGCUUAAGAGUAUCAAACUGGUUAAAAUAGCAUUGACACCUAUGGCAGUCCUGGGGCUUGCAGAAAGAGAAUUAGAAAUUUAAUCAAUACUAUUAUAAUACACUCUGUUAACUUCAGAUUAAGUAGGCAACAGUCUAAGUCAAUGGAAAAAAUUACUGUAAAUAAGUGCCGUUGGCCCAAUGUCCACAGCGCACUUAAUUUUGAUCAAG
Molecule: long non-coding RNA, 4535 nt
Filed under: Bemisia tabaci
Lineage: Eukaryota; Metazoa; Arthropoda; Insecta; Hemiptera; Aleyrodidae
Description: lncRNA ENSSSA3NGG011066
Source: RNAcentral